CUGACUUCAGCAGCACAUACACACUAAAACCAGAACAAUACAGAGAAGACUGGCAUGGGCCCUGUGUGAGGAUGACAGCAAAUUCGUUAAGUGUUCCAUUAAAAA
This 105-nucleotide small nuclear RNA is filed under the name Cebus imitator (Panamanian white-faced capuchin). Lineage: Eukaryota; Metazoa; Chordata; Mammalia; Primates; Cebidae. The record is from RNAcentral.